This 451-nucleotide ribosomal RNA is filed under the name uncultured bacterium. RNAcentral describes it as "partial 16S ribosomal RNA". It matches the Rfam family "Bacterial small subunit ribosomal RNA", at positions 28 to 507 of the family's 1533-position model. The record is from RNAcentral.
GAUGAACGCUGGCGGCGUGCCUAACACAUGCAAGUCGAGCGGCAGCGAGGGGUGCUUGCACCCUGUCGGCGAGCGGCGGACGGCUGAGUAACGCGUGGGAACGUGCCCCAAAGUGAGGAAUAACUGCCCGAAAGGGUAGCUAAUACCGCAUAUUAUCUUCGGAUCAAAGGAUUUAUCCGCUUUGGGAGCGGCUCGCGUCGGAUUAGGUAGUUGGUGAGGUAAUGGCUCACCAAGCCGACGAUCCAUAGCUGGUCUGAGAGGAUGACCAGCCAGACUGGAACUGAGACACAGUCCAGACUCCUACGGGAGGCAGCAGUGAGGAAUCUUCCACAAUGGGCGAAAGCCUGAUGGAGCAACGCCGCGUGCAGGACGAAGGCCUUCGGGUUGUAAACUGCUUUUAUAAGUGAGGAAUAUGACGGUAACUUAUGAAUAAGGAUCGGCUAACUACGUG